Molecule: ribosomal RNA, 433 nt
Filed under: uncultured bacterium
Lineage: Bacteria
Description: partial 16S ribosomal RNA
Rfam family: Bacterial small subunit ribosomal RNA
Source: RNAcentral
AGCGAACGCUGGCGGCAGGCCUAACACAUGCAAGUCGAACGGAUCCUUCGGGAUUUGUGGCGGACGGGUGAGUAACACGUGGGAACGUGCCCUUUGGUUCGGAACAACUCAGGGAAACUUGAGCUAAUACCGGAUGUGCCCUUCGGGGGAAAGAUUUAUCGCCAUUGGAGCGGCCCGCGUCUGAUUAGCUAGUUGGUGAGGUAACGGCCCACCAAGGCGACGAUCAGUAGCUGGUCUGAGAGGAUGAUCAGCCACACUGGGACUGAGACACGGCCCAGACUCCUACGGGAGGCAGCAGUGGGGAAUCGUGCGCAAUGGGCGAAAGCCUGACGCAGCCAUGCCGCGUGAAUGAUGAAGGUCUUAGGAUUGUAAAAUUCUUUCAGCGGGGACGAUAAUGACGGUACCCGCAGAAGAAGCUCCGGCUAACUUCGUG